AAUAGAUACCCAGGUAGUCCACGCCAUAAACGUUGGAUACUAGGUGUGGCGGUUAUACCAAUGACUGCCGUGCCGAAGCUAACGCAUUAAGUAUCCCGCCUGGGGAGUACGGCCGCAAGGCUAAAACUCAAAGGAAUUGACGGGUCCCCGCACAAGCGGCGGAGCAUGCGGCUUAAUUCGAUGCAACCCGAAGAACCUUACCUGGGUUUGACAUCACGGGAAAAGCUGUAGAAAUACAGUGUCCAUUAGGGCCCGUGACAGGUGGUGCAUGGCUGUCGUCAGCUCGUGUCGUGAGAUGUUGGGUUAAGUCCCGCAACGAGCGCAACCCUUGUCCUAUGUUGCCAGCGGUUCGGCCGGGGACUCAUAGGGAGACUGCCGGGGAUAACUCGGAGGAAGGUGAAGACGACGUCAAGUCAUCAUGCCCCUUAUAUCCAGGGCUGCACGCAUGCUACAAUGGCCGGUACAACGGGCAGCGACCCCGCGAGGGUGAGCGAAUCCUAAAAGCCGGUCUAGUUCGGAUUGAAGUCUGCAACUCGUA
RNAcentral lists this ribosomal RNA (538 nucleotides) under uncultured bacterium. RNAcentral describes it as "bacterial SSU rRNA". It matches the Rfam family "Bacterial small subunit ribosomal RNA", at positions 777 to 1316 of the family's 1533-position model. The record is from RNAcentral.